GAGCCAAAUUUGAAGUAGAGUAGAUUAGUAUCAGCUGACCCUACUAAUCCACUCUACUUCAAGUUUGUGCCC
Non-coding RNA from Haemonchus placei, 72 nucleotides. The record is from Rfam. NCBI's taxonomy places the organism in Eukaryota, Metazoa, Nematoda, Chromadorea, Rhabditida, Trichostrongylidae.